RNAcentral lists this ribosomal RNA (492 nucleotides) under uncultured bacterium. Its description in RNAcentral is "bacterial SSU rRNA". It matches the Rfam family "Bacterial small subunit ribosomal RNA", at positions 29 to 514 of the family's 1533-position model. The record is from RNAcentral.
AACGAACGCUGGCGGCGCGCCUAAUACAUGCAAGUCGAGCGAGAAGGUGUAGCAAUACACUUGUAAAGCGGCGAACGGGUGAGGAAUACAUGGGUAAUCUACCAUCGAGUGGGGAAUAACCAACCGAAAGGUUGGCUAAUACCGCGUACGCCUCCGAGUCUUCGGGUUCGGAGGGAAAGCUGCACUGUGAGUGUAGCGCUCUUUGAUGAGCUCAUGUCCUAUCAGCUUGUUGGUAGGGUAACGGCCUACCAAGGCUUUGACGGGUAGCUGGUCUGAGAGGACGAUCAGCCACACUGGCACUGCGACACGGGCCAGACUCCUACGGGAGGCAGCAGUAAGGAAUAUUGCGCAAUGGGCGAAAGCCUGACGCAGCGACGCCGCGUGGGGGAUGAAGGUCUUCGGAUUGUAAACCCCUUUCGGAGGGAAGAUGGAACGAGCAAUCGUUCGGACGGUACCUCCACGAAGCAGCCACGGCCAACUUCGUGCCAGCAG